This 301-nucleotide ribosomal RNA is filed under the name uncultured bacterium. Its description in RNAcentral is "partial 16S ribosomal RNA". It matches the Rfam family "Bacterial small subunit ribosomal RNA", at positions 509 to 807 of the family's 1533-position model. The record is from RNAcentral.
CAGUCGCCGCGGGAACACGUAGGUGGCAAGCGUUGUCCGGAAUUAUUGGGCGUAAAGGGCUCGCAGGCGGUUUCUUAAGUCUGAUGUGAAAGCCCCCGGCUCAACCGGGGAGGGUCAUUGAAAACUGGGAAACUUGAGUGCAGAAGAGGAGAGUGGAAUUCCACGUGUAGCGGUGAAAUGCGUAGAGAUGUGGAGGAACACCAGUGGCGAAGGCGACUCUCUGGUCUGUAACUGACGCUGAGGAGCGAAAGCGUGGGGAGCGAACAGGAUUAGAUACCCCCGUAGUCCCUGUCUCUUAUAC